RNAcentral lists this unclassified non-coding RNA (347 nucleotides) under Hevea brasiliensis (rubber tree). The record is from RNAcentral. Lineage: Eukaryota; Viridiplantae; Streptophyta; Magnoliopsida; Malpighiales; Euphorbiaceae.
GAAUUAUUAUUAUUUUUUGUGGGGCGUGAACAGAGACAGGUUAGUGAAUCUGACAUUGCUUUCAAUCUCUCCUGUCACUGUUAAAUUUUAGAGGUGCACUGCACAAUUGGCAACAAUUCUUGAUGUGAAUAAUCAAAAUCAAAUCUCUAAAGCAGACAAAAGCAAUGAAACCCAAAAAUGGCUAAAAAGCAAUAAAUCCAAUUAAAAGAAAAGAUGCUUCCUAGCUAAUGCCUAUCUCUCUCUUGUUCUGUAAUUCUCUUCUUCAAUUUUUUUGAUUGAUUUCUUGCUGGUUUUAAAGUACAAGUUACGACUAUCUAAAUACAAUAGGAUUCCUAAAGAGGGCAGGA